This is a long non-coding RNA of Antechinus flavipes (yellow-footed antechinus), 2714 nucleotides long. RefSeq lists it as uncharacterized. The record is from RefSeq and is a predicted model, not a curated record. NCBI's taxonomy places the organism in Eukaryota, Metazoa, Chordata, Mammalia, Dasyuromorphia, Dasyuridae. The transcript is spliced from 2 exons.
UUUUCAGAUUUUGAAGUUAACUUUAUUUUUGAGGGGUUACCUAAUUGUAAUUGAAAUUACAGUCCUAAUGAACGGUGCUGAUGAAAUUUUUUCAUUAGAAAGAAUGGUCCUAACUUUGACAAUUACUCUUUUUAUUACUCUUUCUUGCUAGAAUACACGGGAGAGCUAUUGAAAUACACAGGAGCCACGUGACACCUUAACACUUACUAAUAAGCAACUGAUGGAAAAUCAACGGGAUUUUGAGCUCCUAGAGUAGCAGGGACUCUUUGUGUCUCUCUUUUCCAGGUUACAUUUCAAAACACACUGCAGGUCAUACUCUUCAAGUAGAAUUUUGAACCCAAUCAGUUGUUCUGAAUGAACAGAAACAAGGUCUUAAAAUGUUUAAUUCAUAUCAUCUUAGGAUAUAAAUAGAACUUAUAUUUAAGCUCUUGAGAGGGAAAAGAACAUCAUGUAGUAUCUGUCAAAUCAUAGAUCUCCUAAAAUCCACCAGAUAUCAAAUAUGAAAGUUAUAUAUGUAUGCACAUAUAGCUAUACAUACAAAACUUAUGUAUUACAUAAUAUACUUUUACAAAGGUUUCUCAAACAUCUAUUUUAUCACACCUUACUUACCUUGUUAAAUCCAGGAAAAACAAAUUAGAAACUCUUUUCACAUGAUAAAAAAUAUUCCCUAUAGAAAAGAGAAAAUCUCAACAAGGAAAAACAAUGCUCUUUACAAGUACAGUAAAACUAACCCUUAUGUUUAUCUUUCAGUCAUGAAAUAGCUCAUUGUCUAAAUAUGGCGUGAGAUGUUUUACAAUAGUUUUAAUUUAGGUUUAUUAUGUUGAAUUUAAGUAUUUCAUUUAAACAUGUAAUUUAGGAUUAUAAUAGUUUUAAUUUGGGUCCAUUCGCAUAGACGAAGUAUCCUACUUUUCCCUCCGGGAAGAAUGCUUUGGUGAAUAGCUCCCCGACGCCCCAGGGGAGCCGCCCCGCAAGCCUUGAGCAAUCGGUUCGGGGCCCCCAUGCUGCACUUUCGGAACGGCCGCCAGCCAGCCCCGGGGUGCCUUCGCGCAACUGGGGGCCUCGGCACGGAAGUUCACCAGAGGGGUACCUCAGUUGCUUAGCUCCGGGAAGUUAAUUUCUCAGAAUAAGGGAGAGGGACCGGGACCGAGACUGCGGGACUCUGGAGCUAGUACCCCACUUCGUUCCGAGAGCAUUUGAGUCUCCGCUUCUUGGGGCCAAAGAUUACGCAAGGGAUCACGGGCCCUCGCCCCCUGCCUGGACAGCACAGGAUUCCCCCUCCCCCAACUUCCCGCCCUUCCCCCACGAUCCGCUUGUCCCCAGUCUGCAGCUCACGUGACUACGUUCGCGCCCCUCCCCCACCCCACGCACAGCUCGGCUACGGAAGCCGCAGAGACCGCACGACCGAGCGCGCAGGAGGCCUCGGCGAGAAGGGAUCUAUAGGCGUCAGGGUGGCCCGUACAGCGCCGGCCAGUUUCCGCUCGAGGAGGUGGGGCUGGGAGUACCUUCGCCAUUCAGCCUCCUCUCACCUCCGCCCGGAGCGGGCGUGGCCCCCAGCCCAGAAGGUCCCCGGCCCGAGCGCAAGGCCCCGCCCCAACGCGUAAAGCAACGUCAGAGACGACGGAGGCAUCUUCCUCCGCCGGGUAGUUCCGCUGCCGGCACUAGAUUCCCUCGUCCCUUCCCCCCUCCCUUUCUGCUCCGGAAAUCCCCCGCCCUUCCCUUCCCGCUCUCAGUGCCCUGGGCCUCGCGCUCUUUUCCAGCUGCUCGUGACGUAGGAAGCAGAACCGGCCUUUUCGGCUCGGGCGGGACGCGCUGAUUGGCUGUCAGGCCUCAGUCACAGAGGGCGAGCUGAGGGUCGAAUGCUUGGGGGGUGGGGCACGUGUUAACACGGGCAGUUCCACCCAACGACCCUCCACCCACCCUUUUAGACUAAGCAGGAGCCGAGGCCUUGGGAGACCGAGCGGCUUGGCCGGGGUCACACCUUCCGUUACUCCGAGGCUCCGAACUCGGUUACUUACCCCUCCCCCCAGCUCUGUCCGCGGGGGAGGGGCGGGGGCUUCCCUCUACAAUGCCGAGCCUGGGGGGCUCAGGUCCAGAGGUGAACCCUGAUACACAGUCGGCGCAAGUAGGAUUCUCCAGACCGGCCAGAGCUAGAGUCAAGUCCCGUCCCUGAAACUCCAGCUAGGGAGAAGUCAGGGGAAGUUAGGGAGUCACUGUUCCCCGAGUCCCCCGGCUCUGAGCUCCGCUCGGGAGGAAGUUUGGAGGUUGACGUCACCCUUCCCUUUCACCCCGCCCCGCCUGGGCGCCCGAAAACUUGCAGUUCCACCGGGGAACCCCAGCCCGGAGCUGAACGUGACGGGGGAGGGAGUUGGGGGGGCUACUAGAGACAGGGAAACUGAGGCCGGCCACCUGGUCGGUGCAGCCUCCCAACUGGCCCGGGGGUCAAGCGACCGGCGGGCGAGCGAGAGCGUGCGUGGGUGUGUGUCUCUCGGAAACAAUUGCUUUGUCCUUGUAUGUGGUCCUCGGUGCUUUCUGUGCAGCAUUGGCCCACGUUGGCAAAAUAAUCCUGCUUAUAGUAUAGAGACUCGGUAAGAACUUCUUCCACAUAUCAAAAAAAACCGGAGAAUUACAUUUCUCCAAACCGCCCUAUGUACCGUAAUAUGUUUGAGCAAUAAACCUUUUUGAAAACUGGACUUUUUAAGUCAAUCCCGCAAAUA